RNAcentral lists this ribosomal RNA (1443 nucleotides) under metagenome. RNAcentral's name for it is "bacterial SSU rRNA". It matches the Rfam family "Bacterial small subunit ribosomal RNA". The record is from RNAcentral.
AGAGUUUGACCCUGGCUCAGGAUGAACGCUAGCAGAGUGCUUAAUGCAUGCAAGUCGAACGCCUCCUUCGGGAGGAGUGGCGAACGGGCGAGUAACACGUGCCUAACCUGCCCUUUAGUUUGGAACAGCUGUGGAAACACAAUUAAUUCCGAAUGUGCAACUAUGUAAUGAGAAAGCAAAGUUGUAAAGGAGCAAUCCGCUAAAGGAGGGGGGCGCGGCCCACCAGUUAGUUGGUAAGGUAAAAGCUUACCAAGGCAAAGACGGGUAGCCGGCUUGAGAGGGUGAUCGGCCGCAAUGGGACUGAGACACGGCCCAUACCCCUACGGGGGGCAGCAGCAGGGAAUAUUGGACAAUGGGGGAAACCCUGAUCCAGCAACUCUGCGUGAAGGAAUAAGCCUUACGGGGUGUAAACUUCUUUUCUGGGGGAAGACGAAAGACGGUACCCCAGGAAUAAGGGGCGGCUAACUACGUGCCAGCAGCCGCGGUAAUACGUAGGCCCCGAGCGUUAUCCGGAGUUACUGGGCGUAAAGAGUCCGUAGCCGGAAGUAUAAGUCUACUUUCAAAGACCAUGGCUUAACUAUGGGAAGGGGGUAGAUACUGUAUAACUAGAGAUAGAUGGAGGUUAGUGGAAUUUCCAGUGGAGGGGUGAAAUCCGUUGAUAUUGGAAGGAACGCCUAAAGCGAAAGCAGCUAACUAUGCCUCAUCUGACGGUGAAGGACGAAAGCGUGGGUAGCAAACAGGAUUAGAUACCCUGGUAGUCCACGCUGUAAACGAUGCUCGCUAAGUGUUGGACUGGCGUAAGCCGGAUCAGUGCUGUAACUUAACGGAUUAAGCGAGCCGCCUGGGGAGUAUAGUCGCAAGACCGAAACUCAAAGGGAUAGGCGGGGAAACACACAAGCGGUGGAUUGCCUCGAUUAAUUGGAGACUAAGCCAAGAAUCUUACCUGGGUUUGACAUAUAGUAUGUCACAUAUGAAAGUAUGUUAGUAUUACGUAAGUAAUACGUGCUAUACAGGUGCUGCAUGGCCGUCGUCAGCUCGUGCCGCAAGGUGUCCGGUUAAGUCCGGGAACGAGCGCAACCCUUGCUCUUAGUUAGGAUGUCUAAGGGGACUGCUGGGGCAACCCGGAGGAAGGAGGGGAUGACGUCAGGUCAUUAUGGCCCUUAUACCCAGGGCGUCAGAGGCAAUACAAUGGGUAGUACAAAGGGAAGCGAAAGUGUGAGCUGGAGCAAAACCAAAAAGCUAUCCUAAGUGCGGAUUGCAGUCUGGAACUCGACUGCAUGAAGUUGGAAUCGCUAGUAAUGGUGGAUCAGCCAUGCCACCGUGAAUAAGUCCCUGUUUCUUGCACUCACCGCCCGUCACACCAUGGGAGCUGAAGCUCUUUGAAGAUCCGCAUAUGCGGGUUGAGGAGGGAUUCAGUGACUGGGGUGAAGUCGUAACAAGGUA